This 253-nucleotide ribosomal RNA is filed under the name uncultured bacterium. RNAcentral describes it as "partial 16S ribosomal RNA". It matches the Rfam family "Bacterial small subunit ribosomal RNA", at positions 524 to 776 of the family's 1533-position model. The record is from RNAcentral.
UACGUAGGGGGCAAGCGUUAUCCGGAUUUACUGGGUGUAAAGGGAGCGUAGACGGCGAUGCAAGUCUGAAGUGAAAGCCCGGGGCUCAACCCCGGGACUGCGUUGGAAACUGUAUGGCUGGAGUGCUGGAGAGGCAAGCGGAAUUCCUAGUGUAGCGGUGAAAUGCGUAGAUAUUAGGAAGAACACCAGUGGCGAAGGCGGCUUGCUGGACAGUAACUGACGUUGAGGCUCGAAAGCGUGGGGAGCAAACAGG